UGAAAAGUCUCCUUCAAAAUGUUUUUACCACUAGUGACAAAGAUAAUAUUUUCACUUUUCGGCAAAAAUUCACCAGCUGCACAAUUCCUGGGCAAAAAACACAAGAGAGAGAGAGGAGAGUGGAAAAGAUCCCCUCGGCGCUUCUCUGCCACCUUGAUCACCGGGAAUUCAACUCGGGCGAGAUUUUCGCCCGCCUUUAAAGUGCUCUUCAACUAACCUUAAAUGACUCUUAAAGAGGCUCCAGACUUCAGGUAGUGCGUGUGAUGGAUAGCACCUCUGGCUGAAGACAGUCCAUUAGAAGAAAGAGAAUACCACAAAGCAAAAAGCCCGGCUCCGUCGUCUCGAGUUCAAUUCAGCGGUAGUAAUAGCAGCUCUGUUUACUGCCCUGCAAAGGAAUAAAAAGAUACACUGUUUUGGUACAAAUGUCCGACCCAGUUAACCACUCGGGAGCCCUCAUAGUUUCAGGUUAGCGAACCUUAACCAGGCAGAAAGUCUCUGCGAC
This is a long non-coding RNA of Poeciliopsis prolifica (blackstripe livebearer), 502 nucleotides long. RefSeq lists it as uncharacterized. The record is from RefSeq and is a predicted model, not a curated record. Lineage: Eukaryota; Metazoa; Chordata; Actinopteri; Cyprinodontiformes; Poeciliidae. The transcript has 3 exons.